CACCCCCGAUGCCGAAACCCACCGCCGGCGCCCGCGGCCACUUUAGACCACUGCCGGCGGAGCCCCCCACCACUGCAGCUCCUCCGCCGCCCACAAGUCGACACCCCAUCCACCCUCCACCGGACAGCAAGCCCCUGCGGCCCCCAACCAUCCCGCCGCCGACCCGCAACCAUCCCACUGCCGACGGCCGCCCUCCAACCAAAUCACCGACGUCGUCGCCCCCCAUCACGAGCAACGCCGUCGAGCACCCAUUUGACAGGGAGCACCACCGUCGUCGCCGAGCAACUCCACCGGAAGCCACCAUCCUCCGGGAACGCCUUCCUCGCCACUAACCUACUCGCGCGCUUCCUCCUCGAGCGGGCCUCCCCGCAAGCGUCACCGAGCACCAAGCCACGGGCCUGCCCCCUCCACACGCCCCUGAAGCAGCAAACCCUCGGCCCUCCUCUCCAUCGAGCAGCUCUGCAUCCUCAACAUCUUUUCCCUGGACAUACCUGCCUCCUAUACAUCGUGUCGGAUUGCGACUCCGUCGACGUGCUCUACACCCAGCAGCACUACACCAAGACGCCCGAGGAGGCCGCCGCCAUCACCAUCAAAUCAGUGCAACGCCUAGCAGCAGUUAGGCAAUUAGUGCGAGUCGAGAUUAGCGGUAGCCAUCGAGUUGUUAGGGCGUCCGGUCCGGUGUAA
Molecule: ribosomal RNA, 684 nt
Filed under: Triticum aestivum (bread wheat)
Lineage: Eukaryota; Viridiplantae; Streptophyta; Magnoliopsida; Poales; Poaceae
Description: partial small subunit ribosomal RNA
Source: RNAcentral